GUGGUUGUCCACUGGACAGUGGUCCAGGAGCCGGAGCCCACAGAGGCCGAGGCCGAGGGUGAGAAGGCUGGGGCUGGGUGUUUGUGGUGUGUGGGGAUGGGUCAGUGCCGGCCUCACACGGAGGAGCCCCCAGAGGCUGGUGUGGGGCCAGGAGGAACAACUGGGCUCAGAGCACCCAGCGGGUGGACUGCAGUUGGGGAGACGUCCCCGUGAAGGUUCCUUCCCGGCUGUGGCUUCUCCGGGAGGCCCUUGGCUGGGCUCUGUCUCUGCAAAGGCCUGCAGAGAGCAGGCACGUGGGUGAGCUUUUCUCCUCUCACAGCUGCUCCACCACCUGAGGAGCUAGAGCCGGAUCUGGAGGGAGGGCUGGUGCCUGCAGUGACUUCAGGAGGAGACCAGGAGCCUGCAGGUGACCUGGCACCUGCCCACGGAAAGCCUGGCCCUGUCCAGGAAGAACUGGCACCUGUGCCUGCACCUGCCCCAGCCCCUGCCCCUGCCCCUGCUACAGUUCCUGCCACUCCCCCUUCCCCCACCCCAGCCCCUGCCCCUGCCUCUGACCCAGAUCCUGACCCUGCUCCUGCCCCUUCCCUUAUCCCUGCCUCUGCCCCUGCCCCUGCUCCUACCCCUGCCAGAGCCACUGUCCCUGCCCCUGCCCCUGCUUGUGCUCCUAUUUCUGCCCCGACCCAGCUCCUGACCCUGCUACAGUUCCUCCCACUGCCCCUGCCCCUUCCCCUGCCCCUGCCAGAGUCACUACCCCUUCCCCUGCCCCUGCCUGUCCUCCUGUUCCUGCCCCUGACCCAGGUCCUGCCCUGGAUCCUGCACCUGCCACUGCUGCUCACCCUGUCCCUUCCCUUGUCCUGCCCCUGGCCCUGCUCUUACCUCUGUCCCUGCCUCUGUCCCUGCCCCUAUCCUAACCCCUGCCCCUACUCCUGCUCCUGCAGGGCUCCCACAGCCACAUCCAGAGACCACAGCCCUGCAGGGAGAGCUCCUUGUACAAUUACCCUUAGUUCCAUCACCAGACCCCGAUGCCCCACCAGAUUGUUUCAUCCCCUCCCUCUAUGUUCUUUCUCUCUGGUUCAUAUUAACUGUUAUUUUAUCUUUUCAUGUUCUGUAUACUGUUUAUUAUUUGUUUUAAAUAAAAUUACUUGUUUUCAG
This 1152-nucleotide long non-coding RNA is filed under the name Zalophus californianus (California sea lion). Its description in RNAcentral is "lncRNA (ENSZCAG00015003642.1)". Lineage: Eukaryota; Metazoa; Chordata; Mammalia; Carnivora; Otariidae. The record is from RNAcentral.